CUUCCCUCGCCUCCCCUCCCCACCGACCCAAAAGCAACCCCCCCCCCUUGUCGACUCCUGCUGAAUCUUGUCCUCCAAGCCCAAUGAUGGGGGCACUCGUGGCGGAUGCUUCGAUGAGUGGGGCUGCGAUUUGUUUCAUGUUCGCGGGAUACGCAGCUACUUUCUUGCUGUUCUAUUCUCACUUCUGCAAGGUGAAGAAGAUGAAUGAGGACGGGGAGGUUGGGGAGACCAAAAUCGUCCCGUUCUAUUUCGUGCUUUUCAGCUGCCUCAUCUGGAUAGCGUACGCCGUGGUUGAUAUCAAGGCCGAUUGGGCUGUAUUCAUCUUAAACGUAUCAGUUUUGCUAACUCACAUCUAGAUAAAAAUUAACUAUAUCACAUCUAACCUCUCCACCACAUGAUCUGAAGGCUCUAAGAUUCGAACUGCCAUCUGUUGUAUUUGCACGGCUGUGGUUUUGUUUGUGUGUGGGCUGUGUGUAUGCUGCUCUAUGCUACUGUCGGCCUGUUCCUGUUGCACGGUGCCGUUGUCAGUGGCGGAGGCAGGAAUGCAUAUAAUUGGACGUUGGGGGGGGGCAGCUGCAGGUAACAGUA
Non-coding RNA from Triticum urartu, 588 nucleotides. NCBI's taxonomy places the organism in Eukaryota, Viridiplantae, Streptophyta, Magnoliopsida, Poales, Poaceae. The record is from RefSeq and is a predicted model, not a curated record.